CAAAGGGCAGCAAACUCGCGAGAGCUAGCAAAUCCCAUAAACCGUGGCUCAGUUCAGAUCGUAGGCUGCAACUCGCCUACGUGAAGGAGGAAUCGCUAGUAAUCGCAGGUCAGCAUACUGCGGUGAAUACGUUCCCGGGCCUUGUACACACCGCCCGUCACACCAUGGAAGUUGGCCACGCCCGAAGCCGUUACUCCAACCCUUGUGGAGGAGGACGUCGAAGGUGGGGCUGAUGACUGGGGUGAAGUCGUAACAAGGUAGCCGUACCGGAAGGUGCGGCUGGAUCACCUCCUAA
RNAcentral lists this ribosomal RNA (295 nucleotides) under Synechococcus sp. UW105. RNAcentral describes it as "partial 16S ribosomal RNA". It matches the Rfam family "Bacterial small subunit ribosomal RNA", at positions 1240 to 1533 of the family's 1533-position model. Lineage: Bacteria; Bacillati; Cyanobacteriota; Cyanophyceae; Synechococcales; Synechococcaceae. The record is from RNAcentral.